Molecule: ribosomal RNA, 253 nt
Filed under: uncultured bacterium
Lineage: Bacteria
Description: partial 16S ribosomal RNA
Rfam family: Bacterial small subunit ribosomal RNA
Source: RNAcentral
UACGGAGGGGGCGAGCGUUAUUCGGAAUUAUUGGGCGUAAAGGGCGCGUAGGCGGCUGUACAAGUCAAAGGUGAAAUCCCUCGGCUCAACUGAGGAACUGCCUUUGAAACUGUACGGCUUGAGGCCGGGAGGGGGUAGCGGAAUUCCCAGUGUAGCGGUGAAAUGCGUAGAUACUGGGAGGAACACCAGUGGCGAAGGCGGCUACCUGGACCGGUUCUGACGCUGAGACGCGAAAGCGUGGGGAGCGAACAGG